This 397-nucleotide ribosomal RNA is filed under the name uncultured bacterium. RNAcentral describes it as "partial 16S ribosomal RNA". It matches the Rfam family "Bacterial small subunit ribosomal RNA", at positions 523 to 918 of the family's 1533-position model. The record is from RNAcentral.
AUACGUAGGUGACAAGCGUUAUCCGGAUUUACUGGGCGUAAAGGGCGUGUAGGCGGUCUUGCAAGUCAGAAGUGAAAUUCCUGAGCUCAACUCGGGCGCUGCUUCUGAAACUGCAGGACUUGAGUGCUGGAGGGGAUAGCGGAAUUCCUAGUGGAGCGGUAAAAUGCGCAGAUAUUAGGAAGAACACCGGUGGCGAAGGCGGCAAUCUGGACAGUAACUGACGCUGAGGCGCGAAAGCGUGGGGAGCAAACAGGAUUAGAUACCCCGGUAGUCCACGCCGUAAACGAUGAAUACUAGGUGUAGGGGGUAUCGACUCCCUCUGUGCCGCAGUUAACACAAUAAGUAUUCCGCCUGGGGAGUACGGCCGCAAGGUUGAAACUCAAAUGAAUUGACGGGG